Molecule: long non-coding RNA, 4096 nt
Filed under: Capra hircus (goat)
Lineage: Eukaryota; Metazoa; Chordata; Mammalia; Artiodactyla; Bovidae
Description: lncRNA (ENSCHIG00010031512.1)
Source: RNAcentral
CAAAAAGGUAUUUCAAGAAAUCCCACAGCUGGAAUGCGGUAUUAAAAUAUCUGUUAUUCCUAUCGGUGACAGAGUGAAAGUUACCGCUAACUGUGGUUUGUUUCCUGUAUUCACAGUGGGGGAAAAUGCUUAAUUUCAGCAGUAUAUUAACAAAAAUAGUUAUUUUUUUUUCUUUCAAGUUGAAGGACCAGUGAAUUCCAGUCAGAGACCCUUCUCCAUUUAAUAUAGAAUGAAAACUCCUGGACUGGAUACUGAAACAGGCUAUUCCUCAGACUCCAAACAAGAUUACAUCAGUUCAGCCUCUUCAAAAAUGCCUUCACUUGCUACUAAUGAGAAGCCAACUCAGGCACAGUUCAAGGUCACACCUAGGGGAAAGGAAAAAGAAAUAAUAUAGAAAGAAGAAUGAGGAGAGAAAAAUGGAAAAUGAAGAAAUACCAUGUAUAGCAUGUUAGUGGAAAGGAUAUCAACAACCAACCCUUGUUAACAUUUAGGUGCCAAGAGGUGUCUACUCAGGGAAGCCCCAAUAUGAUGAAUAAGUUAGAAAAUACUAGUUAGAAAACUUCAGUUCUACUUGGAAUUCUCCCACUGUCAAAUAGAACUGUUUAUUUCCUCCAUCAGACUUUAAUAAUUAUCAUUUUAAGCCACUUUCCAAAAUGGUAGUGCUCCAAUCAAGACUGACCAGAGCUAAAGACUGUGUCUCAUUUAUACCUCCUAGAAUUACCCUUCUUUAAAAAAAUAAAGUGCCAUCUGGCUGACAUGCAAUAGCUUAUAAUCAACUUACUCCAAGAUCUUACUGCAUGCCUGCUGUAUCAUUUUUGCAACAUUGUUCUCUUGAAGAUUAUCCUAGCUGGUCCAUCUACUUUCCUUCAAUUCUCAAAUUCAUCCAACUGUUUUAAAACAGGAAGAGUGUUUCUCCAUCUUAGUGACAACAGUGUUUUAAACAGCAAUCACUACCAUUUAUGGAGCUGUUACUAUGUAUUGGGGCUUCCCCGGUGGCUGAGACAGUAAAGAAUCUGCCUGCAAUUGAGGAGAACUGGUUCAAUCCCUGAGUCAGGAAGGUCCCCUGGAGAAGGAAAUGGCUACCCACUCCAGUAUGGUUGCCUGGAGAACUCCAUGGACAGAGAAGCCUGGCAGGCUACAGCCCACGGGAUUGAAGAGUCAGACAUGACUGAAUGACUACUGUGUGUUGAGUGCUUUAUAUAUGCUGUGGCUGAUCCUCACAUGAAAACUUAAAGACUGGUAACAUUCCAUUUUAUUGAGGAAACAAAGCUCAGAGAGGUUAAAACAUUUGCUCAAAGCCACACAGGUGAACUAAGACUCAAACACAGGUGUGAGCUACUUCAUCAAGCUCCUUUUUGGUUGAAGUCCUAGUGUUGGCAGACUCGUCAUUUGUAGAGAUGAAUCUUUUACCAGUCAAACAUACACACACACCAUCAUUUGGCUUCCUUGGUGGUUCAGCAGUUAAGAAUCCACCUGUCACUGCAAGGGACACAGGUUCAAUACCUGGCCUGGGAAGAUUCCACAUGCCACAGAGUGGCUAACGCCCAUGUACCACAACUACUUAGCCCAUGCUCUAGAGCCUGUGCUCUGCAACAGGAGAAGCCACUGCAAUGUGAAGCCUGAGCACUGCAACUAAGCAACCCCUGCUCGCUGCAACCAGAGAAAGCCCACUCCUGGUUCUCACUCACACAACCAAAACAAAAGAACCAUCAUUGUCAACAUGAUGAAUUUGUUGUUGUUAUUUAGCAGCUAAGUCGUAUCCGACUCUUUUGUGACCCCAUGGACUGUAGCCUGACAGGAUCCUCUGUCCAUAGGACUUCUCAGGCAAGAAUGUUAGGUUGCCAUUUCCUUCUCUAAGUGAUCUUCCCAACCCAGGGGUUGAACCCACAUCUCUUGCAUUGUAGAUAGAUUCUUUACCACUGGGAGUCAUCAGGGAAGCUCCAAUAUGAUGAAUAAGUUAGAAAAUACUAUUUAGAGCCCAAAGCAAACUGUGAUAUAAGAUAAUGAGAACAUUUUCCUAUGUCCUUUGCAGAUUGGCUUCUCAAUGCAAUAUGAACAUGUUCUGAGAAGCAACAGUAUUAAAGAACAAAAUUGUGGCCUCACAAAAUGUCAAGAUUGAAGAGCAACAGUCAUUUGAGUAGCUUUGUUAGAAAAUUUCCCAUAGAGGUUAUACCUAUAUAGACUUCACAACACUAGUUAACGCUCACAACAAUAUAUGAGGCAAAUAGCAAAAGGUAUCAUUUCCCUUUUGCAAAUGAAGAAACUAAUUCCCAGGUGAGAGCUGAGGCUCAAACUAUGAUGUAAGUCCAAAUUACAGUCUUAUAAUCAUGCUACACAGCUAGAGCAUAAUUGGUCUGAUUCAUUGAAUCACAACCAAUAAAGUUAAACCUUCACCUUUCUAAGACUUCAUAUUUCCAAACUUGUUGUUGGUAGUCUGUGAUUUUUUUUUUUCUUUUGGUAAUAUUUCAUGGCUUGUGGGAUCUUAGUUCCCAGACCAAGGAUUGAACACGGAGGCAGUGAAAGCAUGGAAUCCAUACUAUUGGACCACCGGGAAUUCCUGGUAGUCUCUGAUUUUUAAAUUCUUUUUUGUACUUUUUUUUCCUCAUGAUUUAUCUGCUUUCCUGGAGUUUUGUUGAGGGAACAUAGAAAAAGUGAAAAGGAAAAAUAGCAAAAUGAGCUCUCCUUUCCAGCCUUACAUUCCCUCAAUCAAACUCAAGAUAGCAAGAAUCCAAUUUCAAGGCCAAUUAGGAUUGCUGGGUCCAAUUUAAGAGUGAUGAACACUUAGUCUUUGGAGGAACUUAACGUAUUUGUUCUGCUUGGCCACAGCAGAAUUCCCUGGAGAGUCACCACCAGGAGCUUGGUGCAUCUUUGCGCUGACUCUGAACUCUGCAACUGGUAAAGAGACUGGCACUGGCGGUGGUAGCAGCUUCCACCUAAAUUCAAGAAAUCAAAUUCUAGGAGACUGUUGAAUGUAACAUUUGGUCCAUUGACUUCUGAUUAUUUUAAGGCUUCCCUAUGAGCAGACAGAAGAGUUAUAUGUGGCAAAUCUUCUAGGAAGUGUUACUAUAAGCUUUUAACUGAAAUCCAGUAGAAUCCCAAGUAUUAUUACCCAUAUUCCAAUAAGUAAGUUAAAUAUACUGUUACACAAAUCAAAUUCAACAGGGAUUAUAAGUCCUGCUCCCUAGGUAUAACUUUUAAGAGUGUAAUAAAAUAGUAAGAAUUGAUUAUAAAUAGACAAUAUGUGUAUGGCUCAAGUUUCAUUACCCUUAAGUUAAAAUAUCCAUUAGAGGGACUUCUCUGGAGGUCCAGCGGUUAAGCCUCCAAGCUCCCAGUGGAGGGGGGCUUGAGUUCAGUCCCUGCUGGGGGAACUAAGAUCCUACAGGCCACAUGGCACAGCCAAAAAAUUUAAAAAGAAAAAUAGGAAAAAAUAUCCAUUACAAUAAGGGGGAAAGUGCUCCGAAAUUAUCAUUAAUACUAACAAUAAUAUGACAUGGUANNNNNNNNNNNNNNNNNNNNNNNNNNNNNNNNNNNNNNNNNNNNNNNNNNNNNNNNNNNNNNNNNNNNNNNNNNNNNNNNNNNNNNNNNNNNNNNNNNNCUGAAAUUAUCAUUAAUACUAACAAUAAUAUGACAUGGUAUGUUUGCAUAAAGUUUUUCCAUUUACAAAGAGUUUCAAAUAGAGUAUCUCUCUAGAUAUCUACUACAUUUGAACAUCUUGAAAUGUAUGGCCUUUGCCCUGGGUCGCUCCUCUCCUGAUUCUCUGUGGGUUCUGUAAUAGUCCCCUCCUCUGCCCAUCAUUACAUUUGGGUGCUCCCAGGAUUCCAUCUUUGAUGCUGUUCUCACACUCUUAUCAGGGCCACCCCAGUCACGUGCAUGGUUUUCGCUAUUCAUUUCCAUACUCACUAUUCUCAUUUUUUUUUAUUUUAAAAAAUUUAUUUAUUUUUGGCUGUGCUGAGUCUUUGUUGCUGCGCUCAGACUUUCUCUAGCUGUGACGAGCUUGGGCUACUCUCUAGUUUUGGUACAUGGGUUUCUAAUUGCGGUGGCUUCUCUUGUUGUGGAGUAUGGGCUCUAGAGCAGGAGCUCAGUAGUUGUGGUACAC